Sinocyclocheilus grahami is the source of this 2953-nucleotide long non-coding RNA. The record is from Ensembl. Lineage: Eukaryota; Metazoa; Chordata; Actinopteri; Cypriniformes; Cyprinidae.
GGUUACUUGGGAUAAACUAACUGGAGGACAAGCAAGACACCUUUGAAAAAAGUGGAAUUGAGGGCCUUCUUAUUUUUGUGAAAGUACAAGCAGUGGACAAGAAUGAACCCCGUGAAUAUGAACAGUCUGAACGUAUCCAUCUCUGGGAACCAGCACGCGUAUCAGUAUGCCGUCUAUGAGUCUCCGCUGUAUAAGGACUACAGACCUCCAGCCAGAGAUCUCAUCCAGCUUCCCAGAACCUUGCUCUACCUGAUGAUGGCCGCGGUGGUGGUGGUCGCUGUCGCUUAUGCCAUUGUGGGACAUUUAAUUAAAGACCUCGCGCAUGACAUCUUGGACUGGGCUUUGGGUCCAGACGAGGAGAUCUUAAAGGCCAACAGUGAGGCAGGUGAUGAUGGUUCCACGCACAUACCACCAGCCCUCACACACGCCCACCCCAACGCCUUCCAUGUUUGGGACCAGGACGACGUGGUCAUCCCCCUCUCUCCAGUGGACAGCCCUCUAACCAGCCCUCUUUUGACUGCCAUCCCUUUUAUUCCUCACUUCUUCCCCUCUCCUGUUUCUCACAGUGUGCUGAAUAGCCCCGCACUGCCUCAAAUACAGGCGGUGGAUAACAAGAGCCCCACCAAGACACCACAAGAUGCCUAUGUCUUCCCUUCACCCAAAAUUAAAGGACAUAGUUCCACUUUCUCACACAUCAUUCCAUGAGAGGAGAGAUGGGACUGAUAAAGUUUGAACCACCGAACAAUGGCUCACAAUAGAUUGUAGUCCACUUCUUAAAGGAAUAGCUCACACCGAAAUGAAAAUUUGCUGAAAAUGUGCUCACCUUCAGGACAUCCAAGAUGUAAAUAAGUUUGUUUCUUCAUCAGAACAGAUUUGGAGAAAUGUAGCAUUACAUCACUUGCUCACCAGUGGAUCCUCUGCAGUGAAUGGGUGCCGUCAGAAUGAGAGUCCAAACAGCUGAUAAAACGUCACAAAAAUCGAGACCUUAUAAAGUAAAAAAACUGCAUGUUUGCAAUAAACAAAUCCAUUAUUAAGAUGCUUUUAAUAAUUAUCUUUAAUAAUUAAUUAAUUAAUUAAUUUUCUUUAACUUUCUCUUGUGAAAAUGUUGUCUUUUCUGAAUCAGGAGUGAAAUAUGCACAAAUCAAGCACCGUUUACAAGCAAAAAUACACUAAAACUCCAAAACAGUUCUUCACACAUAGUUGUUGGAUUUUAAUGUGAGAGGACAAGAGGAUGGACAUUUUCACUAUUUAAUUUAUUAUGGACUUCGUGAUUAUGGACUUCUUUUGGCCAGAAGCGACGAUUAAAACAACAUUCCUUGAUGGAUUUUUUUUCUUACAAACAAAGUUUUCGCUUCACAAUAUGUUAAUUGUUUGACUGGAAUCAUGGAUUAUUGUGAUGUUUUCAUCAGCUGUUUUGACUCUCAUUCUGACGGCACCCAUUCACUGCAGAGGAUCCACACAUGGUGAGCAAGUGAUAUAAUGCUACAUUUCUCCAAAUCUGUUCAGAUGAAGAAACAAACUCAUCUACAACUUGGAUGGCUUAAGGGUGAGUAAAUUUUCAUUUUUGGGUGAACUAUUUCUUUAAGCUUAAAUCCCUCCCUUUAAAAUCAACUAAGAAACUUUUGGCUUCUUUGAUCAAUGCCCAAUGAUGGUGCUGUCUGUAUUUACCACAGUACCUAAACUUUUCUAUUUGACUGCAAAAGCUGGGCCUCAACCUGUGGAGCAUAUGAGGAUGAGUGGCCUGUCCUCAAAAUAAGUGCUGUUGACCCUAAAUGACCUCAAUAAGCGGAGAGCCAUGUCAGUCCAAGCCGCAUUACCUGGGCGUGUUUGCCCGGUAAUAUAGGGACAAAGUGAGAGACUGCACAAUCACUUCUGUAGGAUUGUGCCAAUUCAGGAGCAGCCUUCCUCCUGAAGCCAAAAUACAUCCUCAGAACAGAUUCAGUGCAACGCAGGAUAACCAGCAUAUAUAUAUAUAUAUUUCUUCUUUUCUUUUCUUUUUUGCCGUUUAUGGAUUUGCACAGAAUUAAUACUAAACCUGUGGCUAAUUUUGUAGGGAAGUUAAACUGGAUUGGAUUUAGAAUCCAAAGUGUUAUUGUCAAGGUUUAUUAACCAGUGGCUCUAUUCUAAAAAAAAAAAAAUUCUCCAAUGUAUAUAUUGUAUGUGUGUUCAGGCUCCAAAAUUAACACUCGCAAACAACAAAUAAGUAAAAAUGGGUUAGAUAUUUUAAUCGAUUAAUAUUUAAAAAAUAUCUUUAAUAAAAUGAAACAUAUGGCUUCAUGGUCAGUAAAAUAUGUUAUAUAUUUUAUUAAUUUCAGCCUUAAAAAUAAAGGUUCUUUAUUGGCUUCCAUGGUUCCAUGAAGAACAUCCAUGGAAACUUUCCAUUGCACAAAAGGCUAUUUAGAGUGGAAAAUAGGUUAUUUAGAUUAUUAAAAUAUUCUUCACACUAAAGGAAAAAAUGGUUCUUUUAAGAACUGCAAAACAUUCAUUUUGGACUGUGGGUGUGUGUGUGUGUGUUUACACACUUUCUUGCUUCUAUUUCAGUUGUGUUUAAGGUGUGCUGAAUGUGAUGUUAAGUAUUGCACCAUUACAGGAUCAGCUUAACUGACUAGCUGGUUAAGAGCAAGAAUUAAAGUGUUUAGAAAGGAUAUCAGAUUAGACUCCUCUUUUUGCCCUGUGAGUUAAACUGAGAGAGAACCAGUGACAGAUAUGGCAGACACAUCCACUCAUAUUUUAUAUAUAUCUAGUGUUGGAUUUUUUUAAAAUGUUGUCUAUGAUAUGGAUAUGGUUUCCUCUUGAAGUAUUAAAGUUAUUUUAUGCAUAUGUAUGCUUUCUGUAUAAACACGCUGUACUUGUUAAUCUAUGGACUUAAAUGACAUCUGAAUGCUGGUGACCUCAUCUGUUCACCUGUUUAGAUAACUGGCGCGGACUGUUACUAUUACCAAACCACGUUUAU